GCAAGAAUGAAACUCAAAGGAAUUGACGGGGGCCCGCACAAGCGGAGGAACAUGUGGUUUAAUUCGAUGAUACGCGAGGAACCUUACCUGGACUUAAAUGUAGCGUGACCGUACUCGAAAGGGUAUUUCUCUUCGGAGCAGGUUACAAGGUGCUGCAUGGCUGUCGUCAGCUCGUGCCGUGAGGUGUCGGGUUAAGUCCCAUAACGAGCGCAACCCCUAUUGUUAGUUGCUAACAGGUCAAGCUGAGGACUCUAGCGAGACUGCCACCGUAAGGUGAGAGGAAGGUGGGGAUGACGUCAAGUCAGCACGGCCCUUACGUCCAGGGCUACACACGUGUUACAAUGGUCGGUACAGAGAGCAGCUACUUGGUGACAAGAUGCGAAUCUUUUAAAGCCGGUCUUAGUUCGGAUCGAAGUCUGCAACUCGACUUCGUGAAGUUGGAUUCGCUAGUAAUCGCAUAUCAGCCACGAUGCGGUGAAUACGUUCCCGGGCCUUGUACACACCGCCCGUCAAGCCAUGGAAGCUGGGGGUACCUGAAGUCCGUAACCGUAAGGAUCGGCCUAGGGUAAAACUGGUAACUGGGGCUAAGUCGUAACAAGGUA
Molecule: ribosomal RNA, 602 nt
Filed under: uncultured bacterium
Lineage: Bacteria
Description: bacterial SSU rRNA
Rfam family: Bacterial small subunit ribosomal RNA
Source: RNAcentral